CAGUCGCCGCGGGAAUACGUAGGGUGCAAGCGUUAUCCGGAAUUAUUGGGCGUAAAGAGCUCGUAGGCGGUCUGUCGCGUCUGCUGUGAAAACUGGGGGCUCAACCCCCAGCCUGCAGUGGGUACGGGCAGACUAGAGUGCGGUAGGGGAGAUUGGAAUUCCUGGUGUAGCGGUGGAAUGCGCAGAUAUCAGGAGGAACACCGAUGGCGAAGGCAGAUCUCUGGGCCGUAACUGACGCUGAGGAGCGAAAGCAUGGGGAGCGAACAGGAUUAGAUACCCCUGUAGUCCCUGUCUCUUAUAC
RNAcentral lists this ribosomal RNA (301 nucleotides) under uncultured bacterium. RNAcentral's name for it is "partial 16S ribosomal RNA". It matches the Rfam family "Bacterial small subunit ribosomal RNA", at positions 509 to 807 of the family's 1533-position model. The record is from RNAcentral.